CGAGCUUCCGUUGAAUGACGUGCUUGCACUGAUUUCAACAAUGAAGCGAGUGGCGAACUGGUGAGUAACACGUGGGGAAUCUGCCCAGAAGCAGGGGAUAACACUUGGAAACAGGUGCUAAUACCGUAUAACAACAAAAUCCGCAUGGAUUUUGUUUGAAAGGUGGCUUCGGCUAUCACUUCUGGAUGAUCCCGCGGCGUAUUAGUUAGUUGGUGAGGUAAAGGCCCACCAAGACGAUGAUACGUAGCCGACCUGAGAGGGUAAUCGGCCACAUUGGGACUGAGACACGGCCCAAACUCCUACGGGAGGCAGCAGUAGGGAAUCUUCCACAAUGGACGAAAGUCUGAUGGAGCAAUGCCGCGUGAGUGAAGAAGGGUUUCGGCUCGUAAAACUCUGUUGUUAAAGAAGAACACCUUUGAGAGUAACUGUUCAAGGGUUGACGGUAUUUAACCAGAAAGCCACGGCUAACUACGUGCCAGCAGCCGCGGUAAUACGUAGGUGGCAAGCGUUGUCCGGAUUUAUUGGGCGUAAAGCGAGCGCAGGCGGUUUUUUAAGUCUGAUGUGAAAGCCUUCGGCUUAACCGGAGAAGUGCAUCGGAAACUGGGAGACUUGAGUGCAGAAGAGGACAGUGGAACUCCAUGUGUAGCGGUGGAAUGCGUAGAUAUAUGGAAGAACACCAGUGGCGAAGGCGGCUGUCUAGUCUGUAACUGACGCUGAGGCUCGAAAGCAUGGGUAGCGAACAGGAUUAGAUACCCUGGUAGUCCAUGCCGUAAACGAUGAGUGCUAAGUG
RNAcentral lists this ribosomal RNA (790 nucleotides) under Levilactobacillus brevis. Its description in RNAcentral is "bacterial SSU rRNA". It matches the Rfam family "Bacterial small subunit ribosomal RNA", at positions 43 to 822 of the family's 1533-position model. Lineage: Bacteria; Bacillati; Bacillota; Bacilli; Lactobacillales; Lactobacillaceae. The record is from RNAcentral.